Molecule: ribosomal RNA, 498 nt
Filed under: uncultured bacterium
Lineage: Bacteria
Description: partial 16S ribosomal RNA
Rfam family: Bacterial small subunit ribosomal RNA
Source: RNAcentral
GAUGAACGCUAGCUACAGGCUUAACACAUGCAAGUCGAGAGGUAGCAGGGUAGCAAUACCGCUGACGACCGGCGCACGGGUGAGUAACACGUAUCCAACCUUCCCAUAACUCGGGGAUAGCCUUUCGAAAGAAAGAUUAAUACCCGAUAGUACUUUAUUAAGGCAUCUUAAGAAAGUUAAAGAUUUAUUGGUUAUGGAUGGGGAUGCGGUACAUUAGAUAGUUGGUGAGGUAACGGCUCACCAAGUCUUCGUUGGAUAGGGGUUCUGAGAGGACGGUCCACCACAUCGGUACUGAGACACAGACCAAACUCCUACGGGAGGCAGCAGUGAGGAAUAUUAGUCAAUGAGCGAGAGCCUGAAACAGCCGAGUAGCGUAAAAGAGGAAGGUCCUAUGAAUUGUAAACUGCUUUUAUAGUAGAAUAAAGUGAACCACGUGUGGUUUUUUGUAUGUAUACUAUGAAUAAGGAUCGGCUAACUCCGUGCCAGCCGCCGCAGUAA